Molecule: ribosomal RNA, 253 nt
Filed under: uncultured bacterium
Lineage: Bacteria
Description: partial 16S ribosomal RNA
Rfam family: Bacterial small subunit ribosomal RNA
Source: RNAcentral
UACGUAGGUGGCGAGCGUUGUCCGGAAUUACUGGGUGUAAAGGGCGUGUAGGCGGGAAUGCAAGUUGGAUGUGAAAUUCCGGGGCUUAACCUCGGCGCUGCAUCCGAAACUGCAUUUCUUGAGUGCUGGAGAGGAAAGCGGAAUUCCUAGUGUAGCGGUGAAAUGCGUAGAUAUUAGGAGGAACACCAGUGGCGAAGGCGGCUUUCUGGACAGUAACUGACGCUGAGGCGAGAAAGCGUGGGGAGCAAACAGG